UACGUAGGGAGCGAGCGUUGUCCGGAAUCAUUGGGCGUAAAGAGCAUGUAGGUGGAUCAAUUAGUCUGCUGUGAAAGUCAAAGGCUCAACCUUUGAAAGCCGGUGGAUACUGUUGGUCUAGAGUACGGAAGAGGCGAGUGGAAUUCCUGGUGUAGCGGUGGAAUGCGCAGAUAUCAGGAGGAACACCAAUAGCGAAGGCAGCUCGCUGGGACGUUACUGACACUGAGAUGCGAAGGCGUGGGGAGCAAACAGG
This 253-nucleotide ribosomal RNA is filed under the name uncultured bacterium. RNAcentral's name for it is "partial 16S ribosomal RNA". It matches the Rfam family "Bacterial small subunit ribosomal RNA", at positions 524 to 776 of the family's 1533-position model. The record is from RNAcentral.